AAUCGAUCGAUGGAGAGAGCACGUGCAUGGUAGUCAGACCUUAGACGUAAUGCGGCGCGAUUAUUGCGGUUAAUUUCCACGAGAUGGUUCGUGUUACAUUAUCCAAUAUUCUGCACGUGCUAACACGUUCUAUAACCGAUAUAAUGCAUCGUCCCCAAUCGCAAAACCCGUUCGCAUACAAAAAAAAAACUCG
Molecule: long non-coding RNA, 193 nt
Organism: Apis florea (little honeybee)
Lineage: Eukaryota; Metazoa; Arthropoda; Insecta; Hymenoptera; Apidae
Source: RefSeq, a predicted model, not a curated record